Long non-coding RNA from Glycine soja, 214 nucleotides. RefSeq lists it as uncharacterized. Lineage: Eukaryota; Viridiplantae; Streptophyta; Magnoliopsida; Fabales; Fabaceae. The record is from RefSeq and is a predicted model, not a curated record. The transcript is spliced from 2 exons.
CCCAGGCCUAUAGUAGUGAGAUUGGAUGAUGGAGAUGUGGCACCAAUUUCAGUCAAAAGACCAGAGCCAAUGGAUGAUAUUGUAUUGAAUUACAAGCAAGUGGGAAUGAGAACAUUAUUGAAAGUAUUCUCCUUAGUUGGCUCAUGUUGGAGUAUUCUCCCUUCUUCCUCUGUAUCUUCUAAUGGCUAUGUGGUGUUAUCAUUAUUGAAAGGUA